RNAcentral lists this ribosomal RNA (1498 nucleotides) under metagenome. RNAcentral describes it as "bacterial LSU rRNA". It matches the Rfam family "Bacterial large subunit ribosomal RNA", at positions 1440 to 2925 of the family's 2925-position model. The record is from RNAcentral.
GGGACCUGAUCUGGUAGUAGCCAAGCGAUGGGGUGACGCAGGAAGGUAGCUGGGCCAGUCAGUGGUUGUACUGGUGUAAGAGUGUAGGCCGUGACAUAGGCAAAUCCGUGUCACAUUAAGGCUGAGACUUGAUGCAUACCCGUUGUGGGGAAUUCAGUGAUCCUAUGCUGCCGAGAAAAGCCUCUAGUGAGUUCAUACACGGCCCGUACCCCAAACCGACACAGGUGAUCAGGUAGAGAAUACCAAGGCGAUCGAGAGAACUGUGGUUAAGGAACUCGGCAAAAUGCCCCCGUAACUUCGGGAGAAGGGGGACCAUGCCCGGUGAACAUCUUCACGGUGGGAGCUGGGUGUGGUCGCAGAGACCAGAGAGAAGCGACUGUUUACUAAAAACACAGGUCCGUGCGAAGACGUAAGUCGAUGUAUACGGACUGACGCCUGCCCGGUGCUGGAAGGUUAAGAGGACCGGUUAGCCGUAAGGCGAAGCUGAGAAUUUAAGCCCCAGUAAACGGCGGUGGUAACUAUAACCAUCCUAAGGUAGCGAAAUUCCUUGUCGGGUAAGUUCCGACCUGCACGAAUGGCGUAACGACUUCUCUGCUGUCUCGACCACAGACUCGGCGAAAUUGCGCUACGAGUAAAGAUGCUCGUUACGCGCGGCAGGACGAAAAGACCCCGGGACCUUUACUAUAGCUUGGUAUUGGCGUUCGAUUCGGUUUGUGUAGGAUAGGUGGGAGACUGUGAAGCAUGCACGCCAGUGUGUGUGGAGUCGUUGUUGAAAUACCACUCUGAUCGAAUUGGACGUCUAACCUCGGCCCAUGAUCUGGGUUAGGGACAGUGCCUGGUGGGUAGUUUAACUGGGGCGGUUGCCUCCUAAAGAGUAACGGAGGCGCCCAAAGGUUCCCUCAGCCUGGAUGGCAAUCAGGUGUUGAGUGCAAGUGCACAAGGGAGCUUGACUGUGAGACUGACACGUCGAGCAGGGACGAAAGUCGGGACUAGUGAUCCGGCACCGGCAAGUGGAAGCGGUGUCGCUCAACGGAUAAAAGGUACCCCGGGGAUAACAGGCUGAUCUUCCCCAAGAGUCCAUAUCGACGGGAUGGCUUGGCACCUCGAUGUCGGCUCGUCGCAUCCUGGGGCUGGAGUAGGUCCCAAGGGUUGGGCUGUUCGCCCAUUAAAGCGGCACGCGAGCUGGGUUUAGAACGUCGUGAGACAGUUCGGUCUCUAUCCGCCGCGCGCGUAAGAAACUUGAGGAAGGCUGUCCCUAGUACGAGAGGACCGGGACGGACGAACCUCUGGUGUGCCAGUUGUUCCACCAGGAGCAUGGCUGGUUAGCUACGUUCGGAAGGGAUAACCGCUGAAAGCAUCUAAGCGGGAAGCCUGUUCCAAGAUGAGGUUUCUCACCACCUUGCGUGGUUAAGGCCCCCUACAGACCAUGGGGUUGAUAGGCCGGAACUGGAAGCGCAGCAAUGCGUGGAGGUGACCGGUACUAAUAGGCCGAGGGCUU